UGGGGAAUUUUGGACAAUGGGCGCAAGCCUGAUCCAGCMAUGCCGCGUGCAGUGAUGAAGGCCUUCGGGUUGUAAASUKCUUUUGCUACGRGACGAAACGGUUCUUUCUAAUAAAGAGGGRUAAUGACGGUACCGUAAGAAUAAGCACCGGCUAACUACGUG
This 162-nucleotide ribosomal RNA is filed under the name uncultured bacterium. RNAcentral's name for it is "partial 16S ribosomal RNA". It matches the Rfam family "Bacterial small subunit ribosomal RNA", at positions 355 to 507 of the family's 1533-position model. The record is from RNAcentral.